GGCGAGUGAGCGGGAAGAGCUCAAAUUUGAAAUCUUCAAGGUUCUACCUUGACGAAUUGUAGUUUAAAGAAGUGUUUUCUGCUAGUGGAGUGGCAAAAGUUCUUUGGAAUAGGACAUCAUAGAGGGUGAGAAUCCCGUAUUUGGUCAUUCUUUCUAGCUUUGUGAUACACUUUCAAAGAGUCGGAUUGUUUGGGAAUGCAGUCCAAAAUGGGUGGUAAAUUUCAUCUAAAGCUAAAUAUUGGCGAGAGACCGAUAGCGAACAAGUACCGUGAGGGAAAGAUGAAAAGAACUUUGAAAAGAGAGUUAAACAGUACGUGAAAUUGUCAAAAGGGAAGCGUUUGACACCAGUGUUGUUUUUCCGAAAAUCAAUUAUGAAUGUUUUGUUUUUGAGGAGUUAUGACUUCAUCGGCUUGCUCCUUUCUUUACGGAACUUUCGUAAUGCACUUUUCGGUUAACAAGUCAACAUCAAUUUCUUUUGUUGUAAAAGGGUACGAGGAAGGUGGCUUUCUUUUCGGAAAAAGUGUUUAUAGCCUUGUGCCUCUGCAAUCGGAGAGAUUGAGGUCUGCAGCGUAGAUCCUUCGGGGCUAGAUACACUUGUGCUAAGUUAUAGCUUUUCAUAGACAACUUGUUGACUAUGUUUAGUCUUGUAGCUUACCCGCUUGUGCUAUUUUACCUACGCUUAGGAUGUUGACAAAAUGGUUUUAAACGACCCGUC
This 715-nucleotide ribosomal RNA is filed under the name Neocallimastigaceae sp. RNAcentral describes it as "partial large subunit ribosomal RNA". It matches the Rfam family "Eukaryotic large subunit ribosomal RNA", at positions 88 to 653 of the family's 3401-position model. The record is from RNAcentral. Lineage: Eukaryota; Fungi; Neocallimastigomycota; Neocallimastigomycetes; Neocallimastigales; Neocallimastigaceae.